This 253-nucleotide ribosomal RNA is filed under the name uncultured bacterium. Its description in RNAcentral is "partial 16S ribosomal RNA". It matches the Rfam family "Bacterial small subunit ribosomal RNA", at positions 524 to 776 of the family's 1533-position model. The record is from RNAcentral.
UACGUAGGGUGCGAGCGUUGUCCGGAAUUAUUGGGCGUAAAGAGCUUAUAGGCGGUUUGUCGCGUCUGCCGUGAAAAUCCGAGGCUCAACCUCGGACUUGCGGUGGGUACGGGCAGACUAGAGUGUGGUAGGGGAGACUGGAAUUCCUGGUGUAGCGGUGAAAUGCGCAGAUAUCAGGAGAAACACCGAUGGCGAAGGCAGGUCUCUGGGCCACUACUGACGCUGAGAAGCGAAAGCGUGGGGAGCGAACAGG